AUAAUGUAUAAAAACCUGAGAUACACUCAAGUGAAAUGAAUUAUUUACUGCUAUGGUGACUUUUGUUGUUUGCUGUGGCAGCUAACAUGCUUAGUACUGCCCCGUGAGCACUUGGCACUGCUAUGGCCAAAGUCUAUAUGGAGUGCAGAAAAACGUCCUGAGAGACGCUCAGCUGUGGAGAAUAUAUUGCAAUUAGAACCUUUAAAGGUCUCUUAUUAUAUAUUAAUUUGAAUUAUUGAUUUCUUCUGGUUGAAGUGUGUUAGAAUGCCUUGAGGAUAUCUCUUGAUAUCGUGAUUAUAUCUUAGAAUAGUUUACAGUUUCAAAAAAUAAAAAAAAACUUAGAAUAAUAGUUUAGAAUAUCUUUGAUGAUCUCACAUGAAUAGGUUCCAUAUUUUUUGUUUAUUUUCAUGAUAUUUUUUUUUUAAUGAAGCUGAAUAGUUUUCUAUUGAUAUAAUAAAUAGAACUUAGCACUUUAUCUUCUUUAUCACACUCAUCAUGCUUCUAUAUAUAAGUGAAUAUUAUUAUUCAGAAUCUUUAUUCUCUCUUUUCCUUCUUCCUAUCUAAACACUUAUUUUCAGGAAAGUGUUUGUACAAUAAGGCUUUUAUGGACUGAUUAUUCGAACUAGAAAAUUAAUUAUAUAUUCUUCUAUAUGAGAAACUGUGCCCACUUACGAUGCUUAUUCUCGUUUCAACAUACUUGGAUGCUUACACUUACAGGUGACUCAUUGAAAAUAGAUGCUCACAUGCAUAUGAUGAAAACUAAGAUAAGUGGGGGAAGGACAGGAAUGAUGAU
This 793-nucleotide long non-coding RNA is filed under the name Trifolium pratense (red clover). RNAcentral's name for it is "long non-coding RNA (TPRA_LNC008945)". The record is from RNAcentral. Lineage: Eukaryota; Viridiplantae; Streptophyta; Magnoliopsida; Fabales; Fabaceae.